UGAGCAAAUCCUUAAAAGUCGGUNGUAGUCCGGAUUGGAGUCUGCAACUCGACUCCAUGAAGUCGGAAUCGCUAGUAAUCGCGAAUCAGCAUGUCGCGGUGAAUACG
Molecule: ribosomal RNA, 107 nt
Filed under: Legionella pneumophila
Lineage: Bacteria; Pseudomonadati; Pseudomonadota; Gammaproteobacteria; Legionellales; Legionellaceae
Description: partial 16S ribosomal RNA
Rfam family: Bacterial small subunit ribosomal RNA
Source: RNAcentral